Gorilla gorilla gorilla (western lowland gorilla) is the source of this 300-nucleotide RNA transcript. RefSeq lists it as uncharacterized. The transcript is spliced from 3 exons. The record is from RefSeq and is a predicted model, not a curated record. NCBI's taxonomy places the organism in Eukaryota, Metazoa, Chordata, Mammalia, Primates, Hominidae.
GGCCACCCACACCCCGCCCGCCCAGCUCCCCGGGACUCACCACUGAGAGCGGGAACCACACCAGCACCAUGGCGGCAUGGUGGAGCACCAUGAGGAACUCCUUGUGCAGUACAGUCGGGGGAAAAGAAAAGACCAGAAGAUGCCCACAGACCAAAAGGCACAGAUACAGUGCCAAAAUAAGCCCAGGACAGGCAGGGACAGCCAAGCGUUAAGGGGAAAAUGCAGAGCAAAAGGAGCCAAGGACAAAGAAAGUUCCAUGUACUUGGAGAGUAAACAAAAACGAGAAAUGGAUGAAUAGAC